UUCGAAGCAACGCGAAGAACCUUUACCAGGGCUUGACAUCCCUUGAAGCAGCUAGAGAUAGCUGUGUCCUUCGGGACAAGGAGACAGGUGGUGCAUGGUUGCCGUCAGCUCGUGUCGUGAGAUGUUGGGUUAAGUCCCGCAACGAGCGCAACCCCUGUGGUUAGUUGCCAGCAAGUAGCGUUUGGGCACUCUAGCCAGACUGCCGGUGAUAAAUCGGAGGAAGGUGGGGACGACGUCAAAUCAUCAUGCCCUUUAUGUCCUGGGCUACACACGUACUACAAUGGCCGUUACAACGGGAAGCGAAGGAGCAAUCCGGAGCAAAUCCCUUAAAGGCGGUCCCAGUUCAGAUUGUGGGCUGAAACUCGCCCACAUGAAGGCGGAAUUGCUAGUAAUUGCAGAUCAGCAUGCUGCAGUGAAUACGUUCCCGGGCCUU
This 433-nucleotide ribosomal RNA is filed under the name uncultured Oscillospiraceae bacterium. Its description in RNAcentral is "bacterial SSU rRNA". It matches the Rfam family "Bacterial small subunit ribosomal RNA", at positions 950 to 1382 of the family's 1533-position model. Lineage: Bacteria; Bacillati; Bacillota; Clostridia; Eubacteriales; Oscillospiraceae. The record is from RNAcentral.